GGGUGAUAUUCCUGUUAGGGUUAAAAACUCGUAUAAUCCUAAAGCUCCUGGUACUCUCAUCGUUAAAACAAGAGAUAUGAGUAAGGCGGUACUUACAAGUAUUGUUCUUAAACGAAAUGUAACCAUGUUGGAUAUUGCGAGUACCCGUAUGCUUGGUCAAUUCGGCUUCCUUGCAAAGGUUUUCUCCAUCUUUGAAGACUUAGGGAUUUCUGUUGAUGUCGUUGCGACAAGUGAAGUUAGUAUUUCCUUAACAUUGGACCCAUCAAAACUUUGGAGCAGAGAACUAAUUCAACAGGAGCUAGAUAACGUUGUAGAAGAACUUGAGAAAAUUGCAGUUGUGAAGCUACUUCAAAACAGAUCAAUCAUCUCUCUUAUUGGCAACGUCCAGAGGUCCUCGUUGAUUUUGGAAAAGGCUUUCCAUGUUAUGCGUACCAAUGGUGUCAACGUUCAGAUGAUCUCUCAAGGUGCAUCCAAGGUUAAUAUCUCGUUGAUAGUAAAUGAUAGUGAAGCGGAACAAUGUGUUAGGGCUCUCCACCAUUCCUUCUUCGAGAGUGAUCUUUCUGAACUAGUCUGGGAAAGUCAAUCUGGAAAUGGCUAUGCUACUACUACUACUCCCUUGCCCACGUUGUCCAAUUAAUUUUCCUUCGUAUGAUUGUUCUUUCCAAUAAUAUUUUCUAGGAAAUGAAUGAAAUUUUGCUAGGUACUUUUUGGAGUGUGGGUGCAGUUUCGUCGUUGUAACAUUUAUCACUUGUAGCAAGAAGACACAUUUUAUGAUCUAUCUAAG
This 784-nucleotide unclassified non-coding RNA is filed under the name Hevea brasiliensis (rubber tree). Lineage: Eukaryota; Viridiplantae; Streptophyta; Magnoliopsida; Malpighiales; Euphorbiaceae. The record is from RNAcentral.